Molecule: ribosomal RNA, 492 nt
Filed under: uncultured bacterium
Lineage: Bacteria
Description: partial 16S ribosomal RNA
Rfam family: Bacterial small subunit ribosomal RNA
Source: RNAcentral
AGUGAACGCUGGCGGUAGGCCUAACACAUGCAAGUCGAACGGCAGCACAGUAAGAGCUUGCUCUUACGGGUGGCGAGUGGCGGACGGGUGAGGAAUACAUCGGAAUCUACUUUUUCGUGGGGGAUAACGUAGGGAAGCUUACGCUAAUACCGCAUACGACCUACGGGUGAAAGCAGGGGAUCUUCGGACCUUGCGCGAUUGAAUGAGCCGAUGUCGGAUUAGCUAGUUGGCGGGGUAAAGGCCCACCAAGGCGACGAUCCGUAGCUGGUCUGAGAGGAUGAUCAGCCACAUGGGAAGUGAGACACGGUCCAGGCUCCUACGGGAGGCAGCAGUGGGGAAUAUUGGACAAUGGGCGCAAGCCUGAUCCAGCCAUACCGCGUGGGUGAAGAAGGCCUUCGGGUUGUAAAGCCCUUUUGUUGGGAAAGAAAAGCAGCAGGUUAAUACCCCGCUGUUCUGACGGUACCCAAAGAAUAAGCACCGGCUAACUUCGUG